UACGAGGGGGGCUAGCGUUGUUCGGAAUUACUGGGCGUAAAGCGCACGUAGGCGGACUAUUAAGUCAGGGGUGAAAUCCCGGGGCUCAACCCCGGAACUGCCUUUGAUACUGGUAGUCUCGAGUCCGGAAGAGGUGAGUGGAAUUCCGAGUGUAGAGGUGAAAUUCGUAGAUAUUCGGAGGAACACCAGUGGCGAAGGCGGCUCACUGGUCCGGUACUGACGCUGAGGUGCGAAAGCGUGGGGAGCAAACAGG
RNAcentral lists this ribosomal RNA (253 nucleotides) under uncultured bacterium. RNAcentral describes it as "partial 16S ribosomal RNA". It matches the Rfam family "Bacterial small subunit ribosomal RNA", at positions 524 to 776 of the family's 1533-position model. The record is from RNAcentral.